GGUGACCUGCGGAGGAUCAUU
RNAcentral lists this ribosomal RNA (21 nucleotides) under Heterodermia obscurata. RNAcentral's name for it is "partial 18S ribosomal RNA". The record is from RNAcentral. Lineage: Eukaryota; Fungi; Ascomycota; Lecanoromycetes; Caliciales; Physciaceae.